This 5090-nucleotide long non-coding RNA is filed under the name Sus scrofa (pig). RNAcentral describes it as "lncRNA (ENSSSCG00000060813.1)". The record is from RNAcentral. Lineage: Eukaryota; Metazoa; Chordata; Mammalia; Artiodactyla; Suidae.
GUGCAGCCACAGCAUACGUAAUUCUCAACCAUAAAUCUGAGCAGAAGAAGCCAGAUAUGCAUACUGUAUAGUCCUUUUUAUAUGAAGUCCUAGGAGAGGUUAAAAAAAAGUUACUGUGAUAGAAAUCAGCUUAGUCAUUGCCUGCGGUCAGGUUUUGGAAAAGAACUGAAUGAGUAGGGGCAUAAACAUUUUAUGGAGUGAUAGACCUUUUUCAUAUCUUGCUCGUGGUAAUAGUUUUAAACACAGUUGUCACAGCAGCAUACCGUGCAAUUGAAAGGUAGGCAUAUUAUUAUAUAUAACAUAAUUCAAAAGAGUUGAUUACAAAUGUUAUAAUCAGAGCUAUGCUUCAGAAAGAUCAUUUUUCCAUGAUGUUUAUAUGGAGUGAAAGGCAAGAGGUGGAGGUUAGAAAGAUAGUGGGGGUGUUAAACCAAGUAAGAGAAUGUUGUAAUAUUCUAGAUAAGAGGUAAAGCAGACCUGUGAUGGAAAAUAUGAAAUGUAAAGAGAAAUAUAAAGCAGUAUUUGAGGACUUUAUGUGUUCUGUGUUUGCCGAACUUCUAAAUUGCCGAGCCAAAUUCUUAAAAUAUGUAGCCAUUUGAUUUUCUUGUUUCAAGCUAUUAUAAUGAUGGUAUACUUCACAAAAGAGUUAUUAAUAGACAAAUAAGACUACACUGAGGUAAAUGUCAAAAGCAAAUGACGCACUUACUAGUCUAUGCUCCUUGCAUAGCCAAUCUCUUAUUAUAAAUGGGUAGGAAUAGGUUAAAGCCAAUGAAAACAACAUUUCUGAAGUAUUCACUCAAGAUACCCAAAUAUUCAGAAAAAUUAUCACUCUUUGGUUGAAAGUCCUGUGGAUCUUUAGCUCAAUUUUUUUUUUUAAAGUUUUGGGAUGCAAAUUUGAAAAAAAAAAGAAAAAUGUGGUAUGAUUUUAUAUAAAUUCUUUGUUUGGUAUAGUUUUCAACAGCCACCUUUGGAAGAAUAAUAGAAUAGCAAGUUCAUGACCUAUUGAAGGCAUUUAGUCAAAUAUAUUGAACAAUGAAUUUUAAUUAUGUUAAGAAAAACUGGACUACUUACCUUUUAAAGACGGAAUUAAAAUAAUAUUUUUUCAUGGUGCAAAAUUUUUAUCUAUAAGGGAGAAUACCUUCUCUUCUUCCUUUGUCUAUUUGAAUGCUCUUUCAAUAAAAACAAAACUCUUACAAAAAGAAACAGCUGGCAUUGCUCUAAUAGGUGAAGUACAAGUAUUUUGACAAGAUUACCAUGAAUUAAGGUUAACUAUGCUGGGAAGUCAGAAGUAGCUAACAUGGAGAGAUUAAUAUUCUGAUAAAAAGAGAAAAUGUCUUAGAGAAAGUAAAGGUUAAGGGUUAAAUACCCUAGUAUUUGACUGUUGGUCAAACAAUUCUCUGUGGUUUACAUCUUAGUUUAAGAUCUGAGAUGUAAACCUUCACUUUUGCACAAAUACAUAAUAAUAAAAUAUGUUGUGUUAAUAUACAUUUAAAGUGAGGAAUUUGGAAGGAGUGAUAUUUGAAUUUUUUAAAGGCAGAGAAAUACUGCAACUUGGAAUAGCCUUUACUCUGCUUUUAGCAAAGAUGUUAUCUUCAGGAAAAUGUAUAUGAAUGUGUUUCACAUAAAAGUGUUAGAGAGAACCUUAAUUUUUUGAGCUUAGAACUUCCCUAGUCAUUCACAUUUGACUUAUUAACGAGUGAAUCUUAAGAGACACUUUAUUUAUAACAUACAAGCAUGGAAAGAAUAAAAAGUCUGUAAGCUAAGUUUUAGGAAAAUAAAGCUUGUUAUCAGAGAGUUAGAUAGAGUUCUAAUUUAAUUUAAUCUUUUUUAUAGCUGAUAUGGAAAUGCAUACUUGCAAGGCUGCGUCAGUCACAGAAUUUUGAUUGGAAUAUAUCUGUAAGUAUACUCUUGUGAUGUGCAAUUUUUUUCCAGAAAGUUAUGGGUUGUAUAUAACUCUUGUCUUUGUAGUAUACCAACACAGAGGCCCAUCUCUGAAUUCCCAGACUAGUUUUGUGGUCCUACACUCAGUACAUCCUUAGUGCUCUCUGCUUACUCUCUUAGUACACUUGUCACAUUACAUUAUACUUGCUGGUCUGUCUCCUCUGGGAGAUUAUAGAUUCCAUGAAAGCAGAGGCCAGUCUGUAAGCACAAUAUCUCAAACAAAUGUGGGUGUUUAGUAAAUAUUAGUAAAAAUCUUUAAAUGGAGCAAAUUAAGAACCAAAGAUCUUAAACUAAAAUUAUUUUAAAUAAACAUCUUACCUACUUUUGACUUAAUGCCAACAAUAAUGAAAUGAUAGAAGUACACAAUGAUUUUGAAUUAUGAAUUAAAUUGUUUUAAAUGUGUGGCUCCUCGGUUCCUCUUUGUUUUGCAUCUGGUCUGUCAUCAAUAGUUCUCAGCAAGUCUCUCUAGUAAAAAGAGCACUGUUAUACUACCACAUCACUGAGGCUUGUAUGCUUUCAUUCUAAGCCAGAAAAUUGUUUUGUGAAGAAGAAAGGGCAAAAUAAAACUUUUUCUGAUAAUAUACUAUGUAUAUAAAAUUGUACCUUGAUCAAAUAAGAAGCCAGAAAAUAAAAGAGCUGUGAUGCAUCAUAUAUUUUCAUUCACUUGCAUUGCUUUAAAAAAAUUCAUGGACUUCAAUUUUCUACAAAAGAGACAUUAAAGAUAUAAAAUAAUACUCUAGUACUGGGUAGCUUUCUCCUCAAUUUCCUCAAUGUAAAUGAGUGUCUUGAAAUUUCCUCCUGUUCUUAAGAGAAAUUUAAUCUUUGACUAGUUUGGAAAUGCAUUUUAUAAAUAUGAUUUCUUUUCUGACGAUGUGAAAAAAUUUUAUUCCUGAAAAAAUCUUCAAUGCUGAACUGUUCAUUUUCUUCACAUCAGACAUAGAAAAAGUAAGGUUGUACCAGAUCUGGCACAGUGGCUAUAAACCUUGCUGUGGAACCUGACUGCGGGGUUGGCAUUCUGGGUCUGCACUUAGGAGCUGUGUGGUACAGAGCAACGUAGUAUAAUUCUAGUUAUUGUUGUCCUUCUUUGUAAAACAGGGUUAGUAGGGAAGCUUAACAAUAGCAUCAGCGUGGGUAUUAAAAUAAGUGAAUGCAGGACACUGAGGGCCAUGCCUGAUACAAAGUGAGCACUCAGUAAGAACUGACUCUCUACUCUGGAAAUUCCAAAGCCUGUUCAAAUCUGUAUUCAAGUCAAUUUUCUUAACCGAGUAUAGCCAUUGCUUAUAAUGGUUAAUGAAAAUAUCAAUGAUAUUUUUGAAAUAGGCACUUUGUGAGGGGCAGAAUUAUCUUUUAUUACAUGUUAAUGAUAACUAUCUUACUGGUAAAUGAUUAAGUACAUAGAUGAGGGAAAUGGAGCAGAUAGUAUGGUGAAAAUACAUAGAUUAAACUUAAUUCAUAUGACACAUAGUAUAUUUUAAUGUCUCUAUUUUUCAUCUUAAACUAGCUCAUUAAUUUGUCAUUCAUUUGAGAAGGAGACUAUAACCAGAUACUGGUUUUCUAAGGAUUCCAGGAGAAGACAUCAGAGGAAGAUAUGUUGUUCUGCAUUUAUGUUAACAAGUUUUUAUUUUUAUUAAUUUUUAUUUAUUUGUUUAUUCUUUUCAGGGCCACAUCUGCAGCAUAUGGAAAUUCCUGUGCUGCAGCUGCUGGCCUACCCACAGCCAUAGCAAUGCAAGAGAGCUGCAUCUGAGAGCUACACUAUAGCUUACAGCAAUGACAGAUUCUUAAACCGCUGAGCCAGGCUGGAGAUCAAACCUGCAUACUCAUGGACACUGUCAGGUUGUUAAAUUUUUUAAGAGAAAUGUAAUCAGACCAGAGGAUUGAUUGUGCACAUGCUUAUUUAUAUAGCUGAGAUGUGUUUGUUGUCAUCAACAAAGUAUAUAUCAACAAAAUAAUAUCAAAAACCAUUGAAAGAAUCAUUGGGAACCAAUAUUCAUGGGCAACACUACAGAAAAUGCAGAAUCAUGAGUGGUGAUGCAAUCAGUGUUAAAUAAAUGAUAUUCAGAAACUGGAAAGGCAAGACUUUCUGUAUUGUUUCCUGACAUUAUGAGUACUAGUAGAAUUGCCAAUGUUUUUCAGGCUUUUUAAAAAGUUAAUUUUUAAAUAGGGUAUAAUUGCCAUACAACAUCAUCUUAGUUCCAGGUGUAGAACAUAGGAUUUGAUAUUUGUAUAUAUUGCAAAAUAAUCACCACAAUAAGUCAUUACCAUUCACCACCAUACAUAUUUACAAAAUUGUUUUUCUUGUGCUGAGAACUUUUUUAAGAUUUAGUAACUUGCAAACACACAAUACAGUAUUAUUAACUACAGUGGCCAGGCUGUACAUCACAUCCCCAUGGUUUUAUAAUUGGAAGUUUUUACCUUUGGACCCCCUUUACCCAUUUUGCCCACUCUCCACCCCUGACCUGGAAACCACCAAUCUGUUCUCUGCAUCUGUGAGCUUGGUUUGUUUUUUUGUUUUUUAGAUUCCGUGUGUACAUGAGAUCAUAGUAUAUCUUUAUCUCUUGGUGGGAGAUAUGAAAUUAGCCAGGAUGGUGCCUUUAACAAUAACCAUAAAGAGAUGGUUCCUGGACAUUAAGAGGAAGAACUGGUGCCUGGAUGCAGAAAAAACAAAAGAACAGGAAACCUUCUUGUGCACUGAUUGGUCAAUAAACUGAAUACAGAAAGUCUCCAUAUGAAAGUUUUCUCUAUCCAUUAUUCUGAAUCUUCAUUGAUAAUCCACUAUUCCUCACAUGGCAUUAUUUAUUUUGUUAUCAAACUCAUCUUGUAGACAAAAGCCUUAUCAAAUAUAUUCCUCUGGAAUCCUGCACAACCAAUAAUAUUAAGUUAAUAUUAUUAUUAUUAUUAUUAUUAUUACUCUAUGGAGUUCUCGUCAUGGCUCAGUGAUUAACGAAUCUGACUGGGAACCAUGAAGUUGCAGGUUCAAUCCCUGGCCUUGCUCAGUGGGUUAAGGAUCCGGUGUUGCCAUGAGCUGUGGUGUAGGUCACAGACACGGCUCAGAUCCCACAUUGCUGUGGCUCUGGCGUAGGCUGGCAGCUACAGCUCCAAUUAGACCCCUAGCCUGGGAACCUCCAUAUGCUGUGGGAGCGGCCCUAGAAAAG